Long non-coding RNA from Gasterosteus aculeatus aculeatus (three-spined stickleback), 2749 nucleotides. RefSeq lists it as uncharacterized. The record is from RefSeq and is a predicted model, not a curated record. NCBI's taxonomy places the organism in Eukaryota, Metazoa, Chordata, Actinopteri, Perciformes, Gasterosteidae.
AUGGGAAUUGUAGUUUUAUUUUUUUACAAAUACGGACUUGGGUAGAAAUAAAACUUUAUGUCAUUUUUUUUAGUUCGUGUGAUUUGGGGAUAUUUGUUGGACAGAAUUGGACAUCAUGAUUCAUAUAUAACUGCGAAUAUUCACUUUGCCCACGUGAGUCACUCUUUUUACACACUGCACGUGUAGUGAUUGUUAAUCAGUCCAAACUUUUUCUUUUGGGAAUGAAUUUAAGGAGAUGUAAGGGUAUAUUUGAACAUGUGUGGAGAAUGAGAGCAUGUUCAAAAUAUUCCUGAUACUACAAAUAAUAAAGCAGAGAAAUGGACCAGACUUAAUCCACCUCAACAAACAAAAGUAUGGUCAAUCAGUAGUACGGUAGUUUAUGGUGAACAUUUAUUUUAUUUUUGCCUUUUAGACUUGAACUUUGGUGUAUUUCAUUAUUGACAAACCCUUUUUCUUUUUUUUAUUGUUGGGAAAAAGUUGUAGGCCUUUUUUUUUCUCAUUGAUAGUUUGCCUGUGUAAUGUUGUUGUUUCUGCUGAUUGAAAAUGCACCUUGUUUGAUUGAAAUUGUGUUUUAAUGUAUAUGUAUGUCCAAUAGGACACAAAUGAAAAGCCUAAAUGCACCUACUGUGUUCUUCCUCUAGAUGACAGUGUUGGUAAGUUACUCUUUGCUUGGUGUACAGUGUAGAGACGUUAAUGUGACGCGUGUGAUUCUCCGGCAGACCAAUUUCCUUCAACUCAACAUCAUUUUGAGGUUAUUUGAACGUCGCUUUAACAGUCCGUUAACGAAGAGGCUCGCGUGUCCUGUGAAACUGUAAAGAAUAAUCCCUCAUUGGCCUUCCUAUAAGUCUACGUCUAGUGACUUGGACUUCUAUCAAUGAAUAAGUUUAAUGAACUAGUGCAAAAAAGGGACUUUUGUUGUCUAUUUUCAUAGAGCAAGUAUCUUUGUUUACUGAGCGUUUUUCCAACUCAAGUUUAUAAAGGGAUUCAAACAAGAAAGCAACUUUAGUCAAUAAAUCUAAUGUUGUCACAUCAAAGUGAUUUCUUUCUUUUUUUUUUAAAUAACUUAUAGACUAUCAAUGUAGUUGACAUUAAGCAAAUCAAGCAACGGUUCAAGUGUAAAUUCCAAAUGUGUGACCACCAGGUCCCUGUUCCCCGUUAGGAGGGUGGGCGCGAUCCUCCUGGGAGCGCCGUCAUUGGCUAUGACAGCUGAAUGAGCGUGGGGCCGAGCGGGGGGUCGUGACCUGUCCAGUGGGGCGUACUCUCAUGCAUUAACGCGCACUGAAAGGUAUGCACAGCCAGCCCGGCUUUUCUUUUUUUUUUUUUUCUUUUUUUUUUAACAAAGUACAGAGAAAGCUGGAUAACGACACCCGAGGGGAGAGAAAGACAAACUUCACACAACAUGAGCGAAACGAAGAUGGCCUCUUUGACAUUAACCUAAACAGAGAAUCAAGGUACACAACGGGUUUUAUUGUAAAGUAAUAAAUAAAAUGUCUCCCACUUGUCAUGUGAUUUAGAUUCUAGAUGUCCGAACAAAUCACACUCUUAACAAACUUUCCCAACCGUGUCUGCCGGCCAGAACUCAGAGACAGACAUGCGGUCCUGUCUCGCUCUCUCUUCUUUAAACCACAACAGGCUCUCUGCUCUGCAUUCCAGACGAGUAAAUAACUCUCAGAGAAACAUUUAUUUCAUUUGUUUCUUUACAUUAAUUCCUUCUGCUUGAUGUAUACAGCCAAGAAGCUCCUCCAGCUGGUGUGUGUGUGUGUGUGUGUUACAGAGGACCUGAUAGCUUGGGGGUCUACAGCGAGGCAGAGGAGUGAAGCUCCCUUUUCUUUCCCCGCAUCUUCUUUCUUUCAUCCCAUCUCCUUACAUUGGUAUUUUCCAGCUCCUUCCUCUUGUCCCCACUUCUUGGUUGUUGUUAUAAUAACAUUAAGUAUUGUCACCGACCUCUUAAGGUGGCCGCGUUAUGACGGGGCCCUCUCACCUUGUUCUGUGGAUUCUAUUGGAUGACCUUUCUACGUGGAGGAUAUCGAUGUCCGGAAAGCACUUGCUCUGUGUGUAUUAGAUCAAUGAAACCUGCUUUCGGCGACUGAAUUCAGGAAGUGGCUUCUUCCAGUGAGCUAUGGGCUCAUUCGAAGUCACCUCUGACGCCAGGAAGUGUGGUAACUUUGGAGUCUCGAUUAUUGACCAUUCGAAGCAGGAAGUUCCCACUCGCCUUGAUCUGAAGCUGUUCAUUUUGACCCUGGGCACCAGGAAGUGUCCUUUCUACUUCCACUGGAUCUAUGGAGUCGCUGCUCGUUAUGACCUCGGGCAGGAAGUGUCCUCUCGGUUGGAUGGAUGGAGCUAUUCUUAUUUCCUUCAGAGACCAGGCCAAGCAUUGUGUGGAGUUGGCUCCUUCUUCUCCUCUGAUGUUGCCGGAGGGUUAAACUGACGUACGUCUGCCAAAUCAACUACUUGGAACGGGGAGAUGAAACACCGACUGGACCAAUCAAUGAGCAGCAGGAAAGACCGUCUGACACCUGACAAGAACCGUAUGAGCUUACAGCGCCAAUAAAAUAUUGACUUCAUUUUUUAAUUAACUUCAAUGCGGUCUGUUUUUUUUACUGACACUCACAGCAGCGGCACCACAAUUUGGGUUGGUUCCUUAUAUAAAAAUCUGCCAAUAAAGGGUUCACAGUGAAAUGAUUAGGUAUUCCCUCUUUCAGUCUUAAUCCUGUGUUCAUUUUCUGCAAUAAAUGCAUUAAGUCAUUAA